GAGAACGCUGGCGGCGUGCCUAACACAUGCAAGUCGAGCGGAGACAGUGAGUAGCUUGCUAUGAGCUGUUUUAGCGGCGGACGGGUGAGUAACGCGUGAGCAACCUUUCCCAGACAGGGGAAUAACACACCGAAAGGUGUACUAAUACCGCAUAAGACCACGGGAUCACAUGGUUCUGGGGUAAAAGAUUUAUCGGUUUGGGGUGGGCUCGCGUCCGAUUAGGUAGUUGGUGAGGUAACGGCCCACCAAGCCGACGAUCGGUAGCCGACCUGAGAGGGUGAUCGGCCACAUUGGGACUGAGACACGGCCCAAACUCCUACGGGAGGCAGCAGUGGGGAAUAUUGCACAAUGGGCGCAAGCCUGAUGCAGCAACGCCGCGUGGAGGAAGACGGUUUUCGGAUUGUAAACUCCUGUUCUUAGUGAAGAAUAAUGACGGUAGCUAAGGAGCAAGCCACGGCUAACUACGUG
Molecule: ribosomal RNA, 468 nt
Filed under: uncultured bacterium
Lineage: Bacteria
Description: bacterial SSU rRNA
Rfam family: Bacterial small subunit ribosomal RNA
Source: RNAcentral